This 337-nucleotide unclassified non-coding RNA is filed under the name Hevea brasiliensis (rubber tree). The record is from RNAcentral. Lineage: Eukaryota; Viridiplantae; Streptophyta; Magnoliopsida; Malpighiales; Euphorbiaceae.
GUUUUCUUGAUGCUUUCUGUUCCACGUCUUUACUGAAUUCAUGAAAAUUGAAAGUUCUACAUGCAUUUCAAAUAGUAUUUGAUACUACCACAUUAAACUAAAGUAUGCAUAUGAAAUUCAGGGAGCCAUCGUCAACAAGUCAACUGGCUUUUCUGCUUCGAUUUUCAGUAGUGACAACAAGUCCUCAACAAGGUCACUUCCUCAAACUUUCCACAAUGUAAGAAGCAUACAGGUCCAUGGAAUACUUGAUGGCAUCUACAGCUGCUUCAGCAGGAAGAAAGUCCUCAACGGCAACUGACUUGUUCUCAUUCUUUUUAUAGUCUUCAAAAAAGCGCCG